Molecule: long non-coding RNA, 270 nt
Filed under: Mytilus galloprovincialis (Mediterranean mussel)
Lineage: Eukaryota; Metazoa; Mollusca; Bivalvia; Mytilida; Mytilidae
Source: RNAcentral
GUCUGCAGGUCUUUUAUUUCUUAAUAUACUACAUGGUAACUAAUUAAAACAACACACAUGACCCCUAAUCAUUUGUUUACACGUGAAUUCAUUCUGUGAUCUUAUCAUAGAAAAAUCUAAUACAUCAGUCAUAAAAGCAUUAUUGGAUUAACAAAUAGUACAAUUUUACACACAAAAAAAUUGACGUGCAAAUAACUAUUUCACAUAUGCCUCACUUUGUGACUCCUUCAAGACGAGACAAAAAAUGGCUACAUCCUAAACAGUUUGAAU